AUUGAACGCUGGCGGAAUGCUUUACACAUGCAAGUCGAACGGUAGAGGGGGCAACCCCUCGAGAGUGGCGAACGGGUGAGUAAUAUAUCGGAACGUGCCCAGUCGUGGGGGAUAACGUAGCGAAAGUUACGCUAAUACCGCAUACGAUCUAAGGAUGAAAGCGGGGGAUCGCAAGACCUCGCGCGAUUGGAGCGACCGAUAUCAGAUUAGGUAGUUGGUGGGGUAAAGGCUCACCAAGCCAACGAUCUGUAGCUGGUCUGAGAGGACGACCAGCCACACUGGAACUGAGACACGGUCCAGACUCCUACGGGAGGCAGCAGUGGGGAAUUUUGGACAAUGGACGCAAGUCUGAUCCAGCCAUUCCGCGUGCAGGAUGAAGGCCCUCGGGUUGUAAGCUGCUUUUGUACGGAACGAAAAGGUCUCUCUUAAUACGGGGGGCUCAUGACGGUACCGUAAGAAUAAGCACCGGCUAACUACGUGCCAGCCGCCGCGGUAA
This 496-nucleotide ribosomal RNA is filed under the name uncultured bacterium. Its description in RNAcentral is "partial 16S ribosomal RNA". It matches the Rfam family "Bacterial small subunit ribosomal RNA", at positions 30 to 523 of the family's 1533-position model. The record is from RNAcentral.